UACGUAGGUGGCAAGCGUUGUCCGGAUUUAUUGGGCGUAAAGAGCUCGUAGGCGGCUUGUCACGUCGGGUGUGAAAGCCCGGGGCUUAACCCCGGGUCUGCAUUCGAUACGGGCUAGCUAGAGUGUGGUAGGGGAGAUCGGAAUUCCUGGUGUAGCGGUGAAAUGCGCAGAUAUCAGGAGGAACACCGGUGGCGAAGGCGGGUCUCUGGGCCGAUACUGACGCUGAGGAGCGAAAGCGUGGGGAGCGAACAGG
This 253-nucleotide ribosomal RNA is filed under the name uncultured bacterium. RNAcentral describes it as "partial 16S ribosomal RNA". It matches the Rfam family "Bacterial small subunit ribosomal RNA", at positions 524 to 776 of the family's 1533-position model. The record is from RNAcentral.